Fukomys damarensis (Damara mole-rat) is the source of this 1608-nucleotide long non-coding RNA. NCBI's taxonomy places the organism in Eukaryota, Metazoa, Chordata, Mammalia, Rodentia, Bathyergidae. The record is from Ensembl.
UGGAGAGACAGAUAAUAAUAACAAGACGGAUGGUGGUUCAGAACUUACCACAAGGAAGUCUGAAGGUUAAUUUGCCAACUGUGGAAGAAUCAGGCCACUCUGAUUUGUACCCUCUGGUUAGCUCGAAGAAGGACAUAGAUCAUAGAUCCAAAUAAAGAAAUGAUGCCAAAAAUACGGGCAUUACAUUGCCGGGGAUGGAGGGAGGGAGGAAAGGAGGGAAGCAAGGGAGGGAAGAAAAAGGAUCUUUUAGUGGCACGAAGGCUGUGCCAUUCCACUGAAAAGAGUUCCGAGUCCCAAGAGCACUGGGGUAAUGAAGAUUACGAGGCUGGCAUACCUACAGGACUCCAGUUGGCACAACAAAACUGGCCUCUCCUCCAGGCAACAGAAAACAGCCACUUCUGGAAGCUCGUCUCGGGACAUAGAGCAGCAGAAGGCCAGGGAGGCCAAUCAGAUCUUCUUCGGUCACUCCAGCAGGAACAACUUUAAUAUUUGGCCAAGAGAUGCUUGCAGAGCUGUGCACAUCAAAGAGAAUCAAAAACUGAGCAGCCUACUGUAAGGGUUUUAUUCAAUACAUGGUUCUCCCUGGUUGCAGAGAAACUGCUGAAAACUCUCAGGUCCUCGCCUACAUAAGUCAGAAAACAUCAAAGUUCGUGAAAAUCACAGCACACCUCCACCGAAUGUUAAAGCCAAGAAAAAAACAACUUUGGGGGUUGGACUGAUUUCAUAAAAUAAUCUGAGAGACUGAAGUGGAAAACAGCAAUGACUAUGAACUUUAGAGAGGCCAAAAAAUAAUCGACUACAUUUUUUUAAGAUUAUGCAAUGUUUAGCAAACUGAGAUCACUGGGGGGGGGAGAAAGAAAAGGAAUCGCACAAACUUUACUAAACAAAGUCACAUACCAACAAACAUUUAAACCACUAUAACCAAGAUGAAGAACUGAAGCUCGUUUUUAGUUACAAAGAUCUAAGGAAUGGGGGUGGGAAAUAAACAAAAGUCCAAGGGGAAAAUCAUUAAUAAGAUACUCUGAACUAUUUUCCCACAAGUAAUUUUUUGUUUAAAAAAAAAGCAAGCUACAUUGUAUGUUUAAAAAAGUCAAUCUCCUGCAUUUCUGUCCAAAUAAAACUUCUUUGCAAGCAGUCAACCAAAAAACUGAAAUUCCAUUGUCAGAGCAUGAUGUCUAUGAAAUACCACUUCAGAAAACUUUCAAAAUAUAAAAAAGAGCUGGUUAAUUAAUAGAGGUCUCUGAAAUGAAGAAAGACUAGAAAAUUAACAUAGCAAAACCCACCCGAAAGGAAACUACAAGAAAACCUGGACUUAGAUCCUUGCAGGAUAUAAUUUUAAGAGCUUCCUGUUUACUAACAACAACAAGCACACGCACACACAUGCAAACACACACACACACAAAACCACCCACAUCAUUAUUUCCAGGAAAUUAUAUAUAUAAAUAAAACAUGAAGACUUCUCUAGUAAAAACAAAUGUAAUGUCUUCCUAAACUGCCUCUAUCAAUGACGGAUGAAUUGGUAUAGCUUUUAUUAAAGGAGUAGUAAACAGAUUUUAAGGGUCAUGUUUCUAACUGCCUGAAAGAUUUCAAACCAUACAGAGAUAAAAC